Molecule: ribosomal RNA, 498 nt
Filed under: Bacillus sp. (in: firmicutes)
Lineage: Bacteria; Bacillati; Bacillota; Bacilli; Caryophanales; Bacillaceae
Description: bacterial SSU rRNA
Rfam family: Bacterial small subunit ribosomal RNA
Source: RNAcentral
GAUGAACGCUGGCGGCGUGCCUAAUACAUGCAAGUCGAGCGAAUGGAUUAAGAGCUUGCUCUUAUGAAGUUAGCGGCGGACGGGUGAGUAACACGUGGGUAACCUGCCCAUAAGACUGGGAUAACUCCGGGAAACCGGGGCUAAUACCGGAUAACAUUUUGCACCGCAUGGUGCGAAAUUCAAAGGCGGCUUCGGCUGUCACUUAUGGAUGGACCCGCGUCGCAUUAGCUAGUUGGUGAGGUAACGGCUCACCAAGGCAACGAUGCGUAGCCGACCUGAGAGGGUGAUCGGCCACACUGGGACUGAGACACGGCCCAGACUCCUACGGGAGGCAGCAGUAGGGAAUCUUCCGCAAUGGACGAAAGUCUGACGGAGCAACGCCGCGUGAGUGAUGAAGGCUUUCGGGUCGUAAAACUCUGUUGUUAGGGAAGAACAAGUGCUAGUUGAAUAAGCUGGCACCUUGACGGUACCUAACCAGAAAGCCACGGCUACUACGUG